AUACGGAGGAUCCGAGCGUUAUCCGGAUUUAUUGGGUUUAAAGGGUGCGCAGGCGGCCAUUUAAGUCAGCGGUUAAAUCGUGGGGCUCAACCCCAUUCUGCCGUUGAUACUGGGUGGCUUGAUUGCGGUCGAGGUUGGCGGAAUUCGUUGUGUAGCGGUGAAAUGCAUAGAUAUGACGAAGAACACCGAUUGCGUAGGCAGCUGACCAGAUCGCAAAUGACGCUCAUGCACGAAAUUGCGGGGAUCGAACAGGAUUAGAUACCCUGGUAGUCCGCACAGUAAACGAUGAAUACUUGUUUUCGGCGAUAUAAUGUCGGAGGCAAAGCGAAAGCGAUAAGUAUUCCACCUGGGGAGUACGCCGGCAACGGUGAAACUCAAAGGAAUUGACGGGG
This 392-nucleotide ribosomal RNA is filed under the name uncultured bacterium. Its description in RNAcentral is "partial 16S ribosomal RNA". It matches the Rfam family "Bacterial small subunit ribosomal RNA", at positions 523 to 918 of the family's 1533-position model. The record is from RNAcentral.